GACUUCAGUUAGCCUUGCAUUGUCAAAAUUAUAAGUUCAUAGACUCGCAUCUUAUUGGUUAGUUGGGGGCCCACGUGUCAUUGUAAAAAUAAUUUUAUACUUUAGUUAUCUGAUUUAAAAUAUGUAUGAACAUAUUAAGCUUUUGCACCAUAUUUUUGGCGAGUUUCGGUAUUAUCAAAGAAAAAUGACGAAAAUGCCCAUGUGAGCCAAAAAAUAAUAUUUUAUUGUUUUGAUUUGGAAACGACUUAUG
Molecule: long non-coding RNA, 250 nt
Filed under: Theobroma cacao (cacao)
Lineage: Eukaryota; Viridiplantae; Streptophyta; Magnoliopsida; Malvales; Malvaceae
Description: long non-coding RNA (TCAC_LNC004276)
Source: RNAcentral